AUAGAGGCAAAGAUUCAGGAGCACCAAUCCUGCUCAGACUUUUUAAUUUCCUGUUGGAGUCAUUGGCUUGUCCUCUGUGACUCUAUUUUAUCUCAACUCUAGAUCCUGUUAUUUUGAUUCUUGGUCUUAUUAUGAACCAGAUUUUUUACUACAGUUUUAGUACAUUUAUUUCAUUUUUAUAAUAUGAUUAAUUUUGACAGCUAUUGAAUGAUAAGCAAUUUGUUGGCCUUUUCUAUUUAUAUGUGCUAUGGUUGGCCCAGGAGCUAACCUUG
This 272-nucleotide unclassified non-coding RNA is filed under the name Hevea brasiliensis (rubber tree). The record is from RNAcentral. Lineage: Eukaryota; Viridiplantae; Streptophyta; Magnoliopsida; Malpighiales; Euphorbiaceae.